CAGAGGAGGCCCCUACGUGAUGCGAAGCAGCACGUUAUAAUAGGGGCCGACGACAUGCCCUCGAAGCCGCAGGCUGAGGGGGCGACACCAUAG
RNAcentral lists this small RNA (93 nucleotides) under unclassified sequences. RNAcentral describes it as "GA-cis RNA". It matches the Rfam family "GA-cis RNA". The record is from Rfam by way of RNAcentral.